GACGAACGCUGGCGGCGUGCUUAACACAUGCAAGUCGAACGGAAUGUCCCUGCUUUUUUUGUUUGCUGGAGGGGCGAACGGUUAAGUGACGCGUGAGUAACCAGCCCUUGACUUUGGGAUAACUUCAGGAAACUGGUGCUAGUACCUGAUAGAAGCUGCUACUGCAUGGGGGUGGUUGUAACGUUGAGGCGGGGGGGGAUGGACUCGCGUCUUAUCAGCUUGUUGGGGGGGUAGUUGCUUACACAGGCUUUGACGGGUAGACGGCCUGAGAGGGUGACCGGCCAAACUGGGAAUGAGAUACGGCCAAGACACACACGGGAGGCAGCAGUGGGGAGAAUUGUACAAUGGGCGGAAGCCUGAUGCAGAAACGCGGCGCGCGGGAUAACGGCCUUCGGGUUGUAAAAAGCUUUCGCAUGUGACGAAGAGUGAGUGAAGGUAAUGGGAAAAAAAGCACCGGCUAAAUACGUG
RNAcentral lists this ribosomal RNA (468 nucleotides) under uncultured bacterium. RNAcentral describes it as "partial 16S ribosomal RNA". It matches the Rfam family "Bacterial small subunit ribosomal RNA", at positions 28 to 507 of the family's 1533-position model. The record is from RNAcentral.